GGAUUAGUUUCGAGUUGACAAAACCAAACCGAUGCAAUCAGACUUAAUUGGUACCAUGAGGCAGCUUAUCAACUUUCUCUGUGAACUCAGGCUUUGAUCCUUAAGCUAUGAUUACUCCAUGGUCGCAUGCACAUAAAACAGCGGAGGAGCAAGAAAUAAUUAUUCAAAAAUACAAAGAAUAUAAGCAUGUUUUUCAAGCACGCAGUAAUACUGUUUCUGCUGCCAAAGCAAGAGAAGAGAGUUGGAAAAAGAUCGCUGAUUGCGUUAAUGCAUGUAACCCCAACUACAAACGUUCUUGGCAGCAGAUAAAGACAAAAUCUAAAAAUACAAUUCAAAGUGGUGGAAACUGACUCAAUUUCUCCCUGAUGAAAUUGACCCCAUCAACUGGACUGCACAUUAAAGGAGC
This is a long non-coding RNA of Cyprinus carpio carpio, 406 nucleotides long. The record is from Ensembl. Lineage: Eukaryota; Metazoa; Chordata; Actinopteri; Cypriniformes; Cyprinidae.